This 468-nucleotide ribosomal RNA is filed under the name uncultured bacterium. RNAcentral's name for it is "partial 16S ribosomal RNA". It matches the Rfam family "Bacterial small subunit ribosomal RNA", at positions 28 to 507 of the family's 1533-position model. The record is from RNAcentral.
GACGAACGCUGGCGGCGUGCUUAACACAUGCAAGUCGAACGGAAAGGCCCAAGCUUGCUUGGGUACUCGAGUGGCGAACGGGUGAGUAACACGUGGGUGAUCUGCCCUGCACUUCGGGAUAAGCCUGGGAAACUGGGUCUAAUACCGGAUAGGACCACUUCUUGGAUGUUGUGGUGGAAAGUUUUUCGGUGUGGGAUGAGCUCGCGGCCUAUCAGCUUGUUGGUGGGGUAAUGGCCUACCAAGGCGUCGACGGGUAGCCGGCCUGAGAGGGUGUACGGCCACAUUGGGACUGAGAUACGGCCCAGACUCCUACGGGAGGCAGCAGUGGGGAAUAUUGCACAAUGGGCGCAAGCCUGAUGCAGCGACGCCGCGUGGGGGAUGACGGCCUUCGGGUUGUAAACUCCUUUCGCUAGGGACGAAGCUGAUUUUGUGACGGUACCUGGAGAAGAAGCACCGGCUAACUACGUG